RNAcentral lists this ribosomal RNA (327 nucleotides) under uncultured eukaryote. RNAcentral describes it as "partial 18S ribosomal RNA". It matches the Rfam family "Eukaryotic small subunit ribosomal RNA", at positions 1470 to 1796 of the family's 1831-position model. The record is from RNAcentral.
CCCUUAGAUGUUCUGGGCCGCACACGCGCUACACUGAAGGAGGCAGCGUGUACUCCUGGAUCGAAAGAUUUGGGUAACCCGCGAAUCUCCUUCGUGCUAGGGUUUGAGGUUUGCAAUUAUCCUUCAUGAACGAGGAAUUCCCAGUAAGUGCAAGUCAUAAGCUUGCGCUGACUACGUCCCUGCCCUUUGUACACACCGCCCGUCGCUACUACCGAUUGAAUGAUUUAGUGAGGACUUCGGACUGGGACCGAUGCGGCUUUCGGGCUGCGUCGGUAUUCUGGAAAGAUGUCCAAACUGUAUCAUUUAGAGGAAGUAAAAGUCGUAACA